Molecule: long non-coding RNA, 482 nt
Filed under: Homo sapiens (human)
Lineage: Eukaryota; Metazoa; Chordata; Mammalia; Primates; Hominidae
Description: non-protein coding lnc-MITD1-1:2
Source: RNAcentral
GAGAUGCUUAUUAAGAGACCAUGUAAAGUAAAAACUAUUCACCUUCUCACCUCUCUGGAUGAAGGCAUUGAGCAAGUGCAGCAAAGUAGAGGCCUGCAAGAAAUAGAAGAGUCACUCAGGAGUCACGGAGUGCUGUUGGAAGUUCAAUACUCUUCUUCAAUACAUGACCGAGAAAUUAGGUUCAACAAUGGAUGGAUGAUUAAGAUUGGAAGGGGACUUGAUUAUUUUAAGAAACCACAGACAGGAUUUCACCAUGUUGCCCAGGCUGGUCUCAAACUCCUGGGCUCAAGCAGUCCUCCCACCUUGGCCUCCCAAAGUGCUGGGAUUACAGGCAUGAGCCACUGCACUCAGCCACAUUACCUAUAUCUUAAAGCCAAAUUAUGUUGAAUUCACAAGUAACAAAUGUUCAUCGAGAAAAAUGAGAAAAUACAGACAAGCAAGAAGAAAAAAAUAAAAGCAUUGAUAGUCCUAAUCACAAUUAA